Molecule: long non-coding RNA, 874 nt
Filed under: Heterocephalus glaber (naked mole-rat)
Lineage: Eukaryota; Metazoa; Chordata; Mammalia; Rodentia; Bathyergidae
Description: lncRNA (ENSHGLG00000033041.1)
Source: RNAcentral
CUCUCUUUCAGUUCCCCUCAGAAACAGUUUACCCUUCAAUGCUUAGGUCAUGUCUCCCUCCCAGCCCCCCCGGGUAUAAAACCCAGGGAGGUCUGAUUUCCGGGUUCCUCAGCUGUAUUGAAGCUGUGGCACCAGAGACAAGAUUCCAUUAUGCCCUGGAAGCUUUCAUGAACCUUGAGGAAGGAGCUCACAAUGAACCCCUGGCUUCUGUUUUCUCUUGCUGCCAUCUGUAUCUCUCCAAAGAUUUAAAGGCAUCAUACCACAGUGAUAUAUGCUUGGAAGCAGCCCAUAUGCCCAUCAGCAGAUGAAUGGAUAAAGAAAAUGUGGAAGAGCAAAUGGACUAAGUACUCUGGACCCAAUCCUAGAUAUAAAGAAGAUAAUCCUCCCUUUCCUUUGAACAUAACUAAUGAACAUCAGUGUGUAAACUAUUCAGAGAAUUCAAAGAUCCAGAAUUCUUCAAUCGCUUCUCGGCCUUUUGGCUAAGAUCAAGUGCAGAAUUCUUCAUCCUGCAAAUUGUCCUUCAGACCUUGUAAGAAAUGGAAAAGAGCUUUUUCAGGGAGAUGGAAAACAUGGUCAGAAAGUUGGAAACACAUAAAUAAUGGAAGAGAACUAAAGAAGGAAUAAGUGAAGGUGCACCCAUUGUAACAAAUACUCCACUGUGGGUGAUGCAGGAUGCCAUAUUUGGAGAGUCCAUGCAGCAUGAGGAAAAUCUGUGUACCUUCUGCUCAGUUUUGCUGCAAACAUAAAAUUACUGUAAAAAUAAAUAUUUUCUUAAAAUGAAGCUAAUAGUACUUAUUCUUUACAUGGCUGUAAGAAUUAGAACUAACAGAAAAUAUGUCAAGCUGACACAUCAUGGCUGCUUUCUAAGUAUGGG